This 450-nucleotide ribosomal RNA is filed under the name uncultured bacterium. Its description in RNAcentral is "bacterial SSU rRNA". It matches the Rfam family "Bacterial small subunit ribosomal RNA", at positions 29 to 449 of the family's 1533-position model. The record is from RNAcentral.
AACGAACGCUGGCGGCGUGGAUUAGGCAUGCAAGUCGAACGAGAAUCUGAAGGUCCAAGUUUUCGGACAAGGACUUUUGGAGGACAGUGGCGGAAGGGUGAGUACAACAUGGAUAAUCUACCUUCAAGUUGGGUAUAGCUCCUCGAAAGGGGAGAUAAUCCCGAAUGUGGUGAUCCGGCGCAUGUCGGAGAAUCCAAAGGCGGGGACCGCAAGGCCUGUCGCUUGAAGAUGAGUCCGUGCACUAUCAGCUAGUUGGCGGGGUAACGGCCCACCAAGGCUAUGACGGUUAGCUGGUCUGAGAGGAUGGUCAGCCACACUGGGACUGAGAUACUGCCCAGACUCCUACGGGAGGCUGCAGUCGAGAAUCAUUCGCAAUGGGCGAAAGCCUGACGGUGCGACGUCGCGUGGGGAUGAAGGUUUCGGAUUGUAAACCCUUCUAUGAGGAAAGAA